GGCCGCGGGAAUUCGAUUAGAGUUUGAUCCUGGCUCAGGACGAACGCUGGCGGCGUGCCUAAUACAUGCAAGUCGAGCGGACAGAUGGGAGCUUGCUCCCUGAUGUUAGCGGCGGACGGGUGAGUAACACGUGGGUAACCUGCCUGUAAGACUGGGAUAACUCCGGGAAACCGGGGCUAAUACCGGAUGGUUGUUUGAACCGCAUGGUUCAAACAUAAAAGGUGGCUUCGGCUACCACUUACAGAUGGACCCGCGGCGCAUUAGCUAGUUGGUGAGGUAACGGCUCACCAAGGCAACGAUGCGUAGCCGACCUGAGAGGGUGAUCGGCCACACUGGGACUGAGACACGGCCCAGACUCCUACGGGAGGCAGCAGUAGGGAAUCUUCCGCAAUGGACGAAAGUCUGACGGAGCAACGCCGCGUGAGUGAUGAAGGUUUUCGGAUCGUAAAGCUCUGUUGUUAGGGAAGAACAAGUACCGUUCGAAUAGGGCGGUACCUUGACGGUACCUAACCAGAAAGCCACGGCUAACUACGUGCCAGCAGCCGCGGUAAUACGUAGGUGGCAAGCGUUGUCCGGAAUUAUUGGGCGUAAAGGCUCGCAGGCGGUUUCUUAAGUCUGAUGUGAAAGCCCCCGGCUCAACCGGGGAGGGUCAUUGGAAACUGGGGAACUUGAGUGCAGAAGAGGAGAGUGGAAUUCCACGUGUAGCGGUGAAAUGCGUAGAGAUGUGGAGGAACACCAGUGGCGAAGGCGACUCUCUGGUCUGUAACUGACGCUGAGGAGCGAAAGCGUGGGGGAGCGAACAGGAUUAGAUACCCUGGUAGUCCACGCCGUAAACGAUGAG
RNAcentral lists this ribosomal RNA (841 nucleotides) under Bacillus licheniformis. RNAcentral's name for it is "partial 16S ribosomal RNA". It matches the Rfam family "Bacterial small subunit ribosomal RNA", at positions 1 to 813 of the family's 1533-position model. Lineage: Bacteria; Bacillati; Bacillota; Bacilli; Caryophanales; Bacillaceae. The record is from RNAcentral.